GGACAGACAGACAGUUGGUAGGAGAUAGUGACUAGAUACCACAUGGCUGGCUGGCUGGCUGGCUGGCUGGACGGACAGACAGACAGACAGACAGACAGACAGACAGACAGACAGACAGACAGACAGACAGACAGACAGACAGACAGAUGGUAGGAGAUAGUGUCUAGAUACCACAUGGCAAACAGACAGACAGACAGACAGUUGGUAGGAGAUAGUGUCUAGAUACCACAGGGCCACAGGGUGCACAGACAGAUAUGCCAGUUGGUAGGAAAUAGAUAGACAGUGCCUAGAUACCUUCUCUAAAGCCAGGAACACAUUUAGAAUGAGUCCCAAAUGGCACCCUAUUCUCAUAGGGCCCUGGUCAAAGUAGUGCACUAUAAACGGAAUAGGCUGCCAUUUGAGAUGCAUUCUUAGCCUUUUUUUUUUAAAAAAAAUUUAAGUUUCUGUCAAAUCUGAGGUGUCAAUUUGGGUUUUAUCUCACCACUUGAGGUUUGAAAACGUCUGACAAUCGUAGAUGUUUGUGAAGCACUGCUUUGAGACAUGAGUGUUAUUAACAUUUGAUACAGGUUCAAAGUUGAAAUGUACCUGCAGGAAAUCAACUAUAUAUGUAUCUAAUAUAUGAGGAAGUCAAACUCAAUAGGACUUUUCUAUUGAGAAAAUGAGUCAAUGAUAGAUUAUUAUUAUUAGCUUAUCAGCAUCAUGUACUAUCACUGAGGACCUAUAAGAAGCAGUUUCACCUUUGUCCCGCCCCCUUCUCACCAGUAACACACCUUUUCUCGUAUGAUUGACACUGCAGCUAUCCACUCCCAACACUCCAUCCACAAUGUUAAAGCCCAACACUAAUUACAAGAGGACUGGGGUCCGUUCAAGAGGGGGCGAUGUUCUGACAAAAUGUUUCUGAUUUAGAAAUGAGACGAGUGGACAUGAUUCUGUCCCAGAGGCCCAGUCUAUUCUACACAAGGUGGAAGUGUUCAUUAGGUACCGAACGGAACAACAACAGGCUGCAACGGGAAGAGACUACCUGGACUCCAAUAAGAAGCGUUUCUAAAAACGUUUUCAGUUGCAUGUCCUAAUGAGUACAACCCUGUCAACUAACGUGUCCGUUUGUUCCAUAGAAAUACAAUGGUGCGUUGUCAGGUAUGCAAUGUCAAUGCCCUAUCAAACCUACAUGGUUGAAUGAAUGUGUUGUUCCAUAGAAAUACAAUGGUGCGUUGUCAGGUAUGCAAUGUCAAUGCCCUAUCAAACCUACAUGGUUGAAUGAAUGUGUUGUUCCAUACCAUGUUGCUGUAGAAGGCGAUUUGACCCAUUAUGUUGUUGUCUGAAAGCUUCUAAUGGAGAAGGUUGUUUGGUAACACGUUACGUAAAAGCCAACUGGUACAAUGCCUUAUAACUUGUUAUAAGCAUGUAUGCACCUUUUAUAAAAGUGUCACAGGCACUAUAUGUUCAUUCACUUUCUAUGGAAUGAUUGUCACUACUCCACUCCAGACAUAUAGUGCUCCUUCAUCAUGGGGAACACUCCUUCAUCAUGGGGAACACUCCUUCAUCAUGGGGAACACUCCUUCAUCAUGGGGAACACUCCUUCAUCAUGGGGAACACUCCUUCAUCAUGGGGAACACUCCUUCAUCAUGGGGAACACUCCUUCAUCAUGGGGAACACUCCUUCAUCAUGGGGAACACUCCUUCAUCAUGGGGAACACUCCUUCAUCAUGGGGAACACUCCUUCAUCAUGGGGAACACUCCUUCAUCAUGGGGAACACUCCUUCAUCAUGGGGAACACUCCUUCAUCAUGGGGAACACCGACCAGUAUAAUGCCUUAAACUUGCUAUAAGCUUAUGUGAGCAUAUUAUAAAGUGAAUCAUCUGAUUCUAUGGGA
Molecule: long non-coding RNA, 1872 nt
Organism: Oncorhynchus keta (chum salmon)
Lineage: Eukaryota; Metazoa; Chordata; Actinopteri; Salmoniformes; Salmonidae
Exons: 2
Source: RefSeq, a predicted model, not a curated record